Long non-coding RNA from Strongylocentrotus purpuratus (purple sea urchin), 264 nucleotides. RefSeq lists it as uncharacterized. The record is from RefSeq and is a predicted model, not a curated record. Lineage: Eukaryota; Metazoa; Echinodermata; Echinoidea; Camarodonta; Strongylocentrotidae. The transcript has 3 exons.
AUUGUGGCCUCAGUAUAUUGAUGUGAAACCAUGCAGAAAAUGCUACUCUCUCUCAACCUUGUGGAUGUUCCCUACUUCCCUAAGGAUCAGCAGCCUCUUGAAACAGUUGAAGCCAUUAUCGAAUUCCUUGCGUCUAUGUUUUCUGGAUCUGAAAGCAAAGCAUAAUGCCAGAGAUUCCACCCAAAAGCUAACCCAUGAGUCCAAGCUGAAGAGGAAUAUUUCCAAAUCGAUGGCUCCACUAAUCCGAUUGAAUUCCUUGCGUCU